RNAcentral lists this ribosomal RNA (384 nucleotides) under uncultured bacterium. Its description in RNAcentral is "bacterial SSU rRNA". It matches the Rfam family "Bacterial small subunit ribosomal RNA", at positions 32 to 426 of the family's 1533-position model. The record is from RNAcentral.
AAUCAACGCUGGCGGCGUGCCUAACACAUGCAAGUCGCACGAGAAAGGGGCUUCGGCCCUGAGUAAAGUGGCGCACGGGUGAGUAACACGUGACUAACCUACCCUCGAGUGGGGAAUAACCUAGAGAAAUCUGGGCUAAUACCGCAUAACACUUACGAGUCAAAGCAGCAAUGCGCUUGGGGAGGGGGUCGCGGCAGAUUAGCUAGUUGGUGAGGUAAUGGCUCACCAAGGCGAUGAUCUGUAUCCGGCCUGAGAGGGCGCACGGACACACUGGAACUGAAACACGGUCCAGACUCCUACGGGAGGCAGCAGUGGGGAAUUUUGCGCAAUGGGGGAAACCCUGACGCAGCAACGCCGCGUGGAGGAUGAAAUCCCUUGGGAUGU